Symphalangus syndactylus (siamang) is the source of this 827-nucleotide long non-coding RNA. RefSeq lists it as uncharacterized. The record is from RefSeq and is a predicted model, not a curated record. NCBI's taxonomy places the organism in Eukaryota, Metazoa, Chordata, Mammalia, Primates, Hylobatidae.
CUCAGCCCUCACGGAACCCUAAAAGCUGGCUAAGGGGGCAUUCUCCUCGCCACCUGGGCCUGCCUCUGCCAAAUCGCUUCCUAAGGACUUUGACUAGAAACCAAAGGUCCCAUUUUUCAUCUGCCAUUUAUUUAUCAUUGUAUAACUUAGUGAAAGCAUACUGACUUUCCUGACUUCUUAUGACCACUUUUGAGGAAAGGAGUAGACACUGGAAUCACCAACACAGCACGCUUACGGAGGGUGGUCGCCAGCUUCAUCAGCCUCCCAGUUCCACGGAGCCCCUUGAAAAUCCAGGAGCGCAGACUGGCAACAGUAGAGAUUUAAUAGGAGUUUACUGGAGGUUAUACUCCAGUCAAAGAAGAUGGAAACCAAAAAGGACACAUUUUGGUUAGCACUGGCUCCAGGAACCCAAUGAACAGAAGACCCAGUGAACAGAACAAUGUGCAGAAGGCUUGUGCAUUCAGCCCAGAGAAAAUCCACUUAAAUUCAGAACAAUUAAGGACUCUGGGGAAGAAGGACUUCACACGGUAGUGUGAUUGGAAGGCAGAUAAAUUUUAGGACACAAUGAAAGUUCCUGAGAUUUUUUAUCCUUUUCCAAUAGGAAGGAUAAAAAAAAAUCUAAAACUAGAGGAAAAAUCAUCUAAAACAAGGGAUAAAGGAAUGGCUCACAUGUGAUCCUUAUCUUACUGUGACAUGGAGCAUUUGAGGAAAGAUGAGGGAAGGGAGCCUGCUUAACUAUGAAGUGAGUAGCAUUGCCCCGGGAGCACCAUGGCAGAUGCACAGGACAUGGAGGGAAGGAAAUGGCAUCCUGGCACGGUCCUGGGUCU